AAAUUGAAGAGUUUGAUCAUGGCUCAGAUUGAACGCUGGCGGCAGGCCUAACACAUGCAAGUCGAACGGUAGCACAGAGAGCUUGCUCUCGGGUGACGAGUGGCGGACGGGUGAGUAAUGUCUGGGAAACUGCCUGAUGGAGGGGGAUAACUACUGGAAACGGUGGCUAAUACCGCAUAACGUCGCAAGACCAAAGAGGGGGACCUUCGGGCCUCUUGCCAUCAGAUGUGCCCAGAUGGGAUUAGCUAGUUGGUGAGGUAACGGCUCACCAAGGCGACGAUCCCUAGCUGGUCUGAGAGGAUGACCAGCCACACUGGAACUGAGACACGGUCCAGACUCCUACGGGAGGCAGCAGUGGGGAAUAUUGCACAAUGGGCGCAAGCCUGAUGCAGCCAUGCCGCGUGUAUGAAGAAGGCCUUCG
This 421-nucleotide ribosomal RNA is filed under the name Salmonella enterica. RNAcentral's name for it is "bacterial SSU rRNA". It matches the Rfam family "Bacterial small subunit ribosomal RNA", at positions 1 to 420 of the family's 1533-position model. Lineage: Bacteria; Pseudomonadati; Pseudomonadota; Gammaproteobacteria; Enterobacterales; Enterobacteriaceae. The record is from RNAcentral.